GUGCCAGCCGCCUCGGUAAUACCGGCAGCUCGAGUGAUGGCCACUCUUAUUGGGCCUAAAGCGUCCGUAGCUGGCCGCGCAAGUCCAUCGGAAAAUCCACCCGCCCAACGGGUGGGCGUCCGACGGAAACUGCACAGCUUGGGACCGGAAGGCUCGAAGGGUACGUUCGGGGUAGGAGUGAAAUCCUAUAAUCCCGCACGGACCACCGAUGGCGAAAGCACUUCGAGAAAACGGAUCCGACAGUGAGGGACGAAAGCCAGGGUCUCCAACCGGAUUAGAAACCCUGGUAGUCC
This 293-nucleotide ribosomal RNA is filed under the name uncultured bacterium. RNAcentral's name for it is "partial 16S ribosomal RNA". It matches the Rfam family "Archaeal small subunit ribosomal RNA", at positions 455 to 747 of the family's 1478-position model. The record is from RNAcentral.